Molecule: ribosomal RNA, 74 nt
Filed under: Enterococcus faecalis
Lineage: Bacteria; Bacillati; Bacillota; Bacilli; Lactobacillales; Enterococcaceae
Description: partial 16S ribosomal RNA
Rfam family: Bacterial small subunit ribosomal RNA
Source: RNAcentral
UAUUAUGAGAGUUUGAUCCUGGCUCAGGACGAACGCUGGCGGCGUGCCUAAUACAUGCAAGUCGAACGCUUCUU